This 835-nucleotide ribosomal RNA is filed under the name uncultured archaeon. RNAcentral describes it as "bacterial SSU rRNA". It matches the Rfam family "Archaeal small subunit ribosomal RNA", at positions 21 to 859 of the family's 1478-position model. The record is from RNAcentral.
GGUUACUGCUAUCGGUGUUCGUCUAAGCCAUGCGAGUCAUAUGUAGCAAUACAUGGCGUACUGCUCAGUAACACGUGGAUAACCUGCCCUUGGGUCCGGCAUAACCCCGGGAAACUGGGGAUAAUUCCGGAUAACACACAUAUGCUGGAAUGCUUUAUGCGUGAAAUGGAUUCGUCUGCCCAAGGAUGGGUCUGCGGCCUAUCAGGUAGUAGUGGGUGUAAUGUACCUACUAGCCUACGACGGGUACGGGUUGUGAGAGCAAGAGCCCGGAGAUGGAUUCUGAGACAUGAAUCCAGGCCCUACGGGGCGCAGCAGGCGCGAAAACUUUACAAUGCGGGAAACCGUGAUAAGGGGACACCGAGUGCCAGCAUCCUAUGCUGGCUGUCCAGGUGUGUAAACUACACCUGUUAGCAAGGGCCGGGCAAGACCGGUGCCAGCCGCCGCGGUAACACCGGCGGCCCGAGUGGUGAUCGUGAUUAUUGGGUCUAAAGGGUCCGUAGCCGGUUUGGUCAGUCCUCCGGGAAAUCUGACAGCUUAACUGUUAGGCUUUCGGAGGAUACUGCCAGACUUGGAACCGGGAGAGGUAAGAGGUACUACAGGGGUAGGAGUGAAAUCUUGUAAUCCCUGUGGGACCACCUGUGGCGAAGGCGUCUUACCAGAACGGGUUCGACGGUGAGGGACGAAAGCUGGGGGCACGAACCGGAUUAGAUACCCGGGUAGUCCCAGCCGUAAACGAUGCUCGCUAGGUGUCAGGCGUGGCGCGACCGUGUCUGGUGCCGCAGGGAAGCCGUGAAGCGAGCCACCUGGGAAGUACGGCCGCAAGGCUGAAACUUAA